This 492-nucleotide ribosomal RNA is filed under the name uncultured bacterium. RNAcentral describes it as "partial 16S ribosomal RNA". It matches the Rfam family "Bacterial small subunit ribosomal RNA", at positions 29 to 507 of the family's 1533-position model. The record is from RNAcentral.
AGUGAACGCUGGCGGUAGGCCUAACACAUGCAAGUCGAACGGCAGCACAGUAAGAGCUUGCUCUUACGGGUGGCGAGUGGCGGACGGGUGAUGAAUACAUCGGAAUCUACUUUUUCGUGGGGGAUAACGUAGGGAAACUUACGCUAAUACCGCAUACGACCUACGGGUGAAAGCAGGGGAUCUUCGGACCUUGCGCGAUUGAAUGAGCCGAUGUCGGAUUAGCUAGUUGGCGGGGUAAAGGCCCACCAAGGCGACGAUCCGUAGCUGGUCUGAGAGGAUGAUCAGCAACACUGGAACUGAGACACGGUCCAGACUCCUACGGGAGGCAGCAGUGGGGAAUAUUGGACAAUGGGCGCAAGCCUGAUCCAGACAUACCGCGUGGGUGAAGAAGGCCUUCGGGUUGUAAAGCCCUUUUGUUGGGAAAGAAAAGCAGCAGGUUAAUACCCCGCUGUUCUGACGGUACCCAAAGAAUAAGCACCGGCUAACUUCGUG